Molecule: ribosomal RNA, 470 nt
Filed under: uncultured bacterium
Lineage: Bacteria
Description: bacterial SSU rRNA
Rfam family: Bacterial small subunit ribosomal RNA
Source: RNAcentral
GACGAACGCUGGCGGCGUGCCUAACACAUGCAAGUCGAACGGGGUUAAUUUCUUCGGAGAUUAACUUAGUGGCGAACGGGUGAGUAACGCGUGAGAAACCUGCCUUUCAGUGGGGGACAACAGUUGGAAACGACUGCUAAUACCGCAUAAUGUAUUUUGGGGGCAUCCCUUGAAUACCAAAGCUUUAUGUGCCGAAAGAUGGUCUCGCGUCUGAUUAGCUAGAUGGCGGGGUAACGGCCCACCAUGGCGACGAUACAUAGGGGGACUGAGAGGUUAACCCCCCACAUUGGUACUGAGACACGGACCAAACUCCUACGGGAGGCAGCAGUGGGGAAUAUUGCACAAUGGGGGAAACCCUGAUGCAGCGACGCCGCGUGAGCGAUGAAGUAUUUCGGUAUGUAAAGCUCUAUCAGCAGGGAAGAAAAUGACGGUACCUGACUAAGAAGCACCGGCUAAAUACGUGCCAGCAG